RNAcentral lists this ribosomal RNA (480 nucleotides) under Stenotrophomonas sp. D12. Its description in RNAcentral is "bacterial SSU rRNA". It matches the Rfam family "Bacterial small subunit ribosomal RNA", at positions 1 to 473 of the family's 1533-position model. The record is from RNAcentral. Lineage: Bacteria; Pseudomonadati; Pseudomonadota; Gammaproteobacteria; Lysobacterales; Lysobacteraceae.
CCUUAGAGUUNGNAUCCUGGCUCAGAGUGAACGCUGGCGGUAGGCCUAACACAUGCAAGUCGAACGGCAGCACAGAGGAGCUUGCUCCUUGGGUGGCGAGUGGCGGACGGGUGAGGAAUACAUCGGAAUCUACUUUUUCGUGGGGGAUAACGUAGGGAAACUUACGCUAAUACCGCAUACGACCUACGGGUGAAAGCAGGGGAUCUUCGGACCUUGCGCGAUUGAAUGAGCCGAUGUCGGAUUAGCUAGUUGGCGGGGUAAAGGCCCACCAAGGCGACGAUCCGUAGCUGGUCUGAGAGGAUGAUCAGCCACACUGGAACUGAGACACGGUCCAGACUCCUACGGGAGGCAGCAGUGGGGAAUAUUGGACAAUGGGCGCAAGCCUGAUCCAGCCAUACCGCGUGGGUGAAGAAGGCCUUCGGGUUGUAAAGCCCUUUUGUUGGGAAAGAAAUCCAGCCGGCUAAUACCUGGUUGGAUGAC